RNAcentral lists this long non-coding RNA (271 nucleotides) under Elaeis guineensis (African oil palm). Its description in RNAcentral is "long non-coding RNA (EGUI_LNC064345)". The record is from RNAcentral. Lineage: Eukaryota; Viridiplantae; Streptophyta; Magnoliopsida; Arecales; Arecaceae.
CUUCCUCCCAUGCUCCUAUGCACGGCUGCCGGCGACGAGUAUCAUCGAUCUUUCGGUCGGGAAAGACGCCCUAUUUUUGGGCCUUUUUCCUUGGUUUUUUCGGCACCGACGAUCGGAAGUGAUCGUCGGCCAUGUCUCCUCCGUGACCAGGGGAGUGGCCCCCGUCGGUCGCCGACCUCCGCCGCGGUGGUCGUGGCCUGAACGGCCCGGCCAAGGAUGGGCCACACCGUCCCCUGUUCCGGCAUGGGAAGAACCAAGAAAAGAAGAAAAA